CCUCCUUGUGUCCGCCGUGGGGCCUCUUGGGCCCUGGGCGCGCGCCUGCCCCAGCAAAGCCGCGUGAAGGAAGAAGGCUUUCGGGUUCUAAACUCCUUUUCUGAGGGACGAAGAAAGUGACGGUACCUCAGGAAUAAGCCACGGCUAACUACGGGCCAGCAGCCGCGGUAAUACGUAGGUGGCAAGCGUUAUCCGGAUUUAUUGGGUGUAAAGGGCGUGUAGGCGGGAAAGCAAGUCAGAUGUGAAAACUCAGGGCUCAACCCUGAGCCUGCAUUUGAAACUGUGUUUCUUGAGUGCUGGAGAGGCAAUCGGAAUUCGGUGGGUAGCGGUGAAAUGCGUAGAUAUACGGAGGAACACCAGUGGCGAAGGCGGAUUGCUGGACAGUAACUGACGCUGAGGCGCGAAAGCGUGGGGAGCAAACAGGAUUAGAUACCCGUGUAGUC
This 443-nucleotide ribosomal RNA is filed under the name uncultured bacterium. Its description in RNAcentral is "partial 16S ribosomal RNA". It matches the Rfam family "Bacterial small subunit ribosomal RNA", at positions 338 to 795 of the family's 1533-position model. The record is from RNAcentral.